CCCGCUGAACUUAAGCAUAUCAAUAAGCGGAGGAAAAGAAACUAACAAGGAUUCCCCUAGUAACUGCGAGUGAAGCGGGAAAAGCUCAAAUUUGAAAUCUGGCGGUUUUUGACUGUCCGAGUUGUAAUCUAGAGAAGUGUUACCUGCGCUGGACCGUGUACAAGUCUUCUGGAAUGGAGCAUCAUAGAGGGUGAGAAUCCCGUCUUUGACACGGACGACCUGUGCAUUAUGGGUGCGCUCUCAAAGAGUCGAGUUGUUUGGGAAUGCAGCUCAAAAUGGGUGGUAAAUGCCAUCUAAAGCUAAAUAUUGGCGAGAGACCGAUAGCGAACAAGUACCGUGAGGGAAAGAUGAAAAGAACUUUGGAAAGAGAGUUAAACAGUACGUGAAAUUGCUGAAAGGGAAACGCUUGAAGUCAGUCACGUUGGCUAGAAAUCAGCCUUGCUUUUGCUGGGUGUACUUUCUGGUUGACGGGUCAGCAUCGAUUUUGACUGCUGGAUAAAGUCUUUGGGAAUGUGGCAUCUUUGGAUGUGUUAUAGCCCAUUGUCGCAUGCAGUGGUUGGGAUCGAGGAACUCAGCACGCCUGCAAGGGCCGGGUUUCGACCACGCUACGUGCUUAGGAUGCUGGCAUAAUGGCUUUAAUCGACCCGUCUUGAAACACGGACCAAGGAGUCUAACAUGCCUGCGAGUGUUUGGGUGGAAAACUCAUGCGCGUAAUGAAAGUGAAAGUUGAGAUCCCUGUAAUGGGAGAGCAUUGACGCCCGGACCAGACCUUCUGUGACGGAUCCGCGGUAGAGCAUGUAUGUUGGGACCCGAAAGAUGGUGAACUAUGCCUGAAUAGGGUGAAGCCAGAGGAAACUCUGGUGGAGGCUCGUAGCGAUUCUGACGUGCAAAUCGAUCGUCAAAUUUGGGUAUAGGGGCGAAAGACUAAUCGAACCAUCUAGUAGCUGGUUCCUGCC
RNAcentral lists this ribosomal RNA (956 nucleotides) under Inocybe subpulverulenta. RNAcentral's name for it is "eukaryotic LSU rRNA". It matches the Rfam family "Eukaryotic large subunit ribosomal RNA", at positions 24 to 962 of the family's 3401-position model. Lineage: Eukaryota; Fungi; Basidiomycota; Agaricomycetes; Agaricales; Inocybaceae. The record is from RNAcentral.